GCAACUUUUAGGAACAGGGGAGUAACUUUUUUUUAACAUCCACUGGUGCACGACUAAGACCUUGCUUAAUUACAACGAAGGACAUGGAAAUGUCAGCUCCCUUGAUAAUAUGCCAUCUACGCACUGCUAUAAAAAAACAAUUAACAUUAUUAGUUAUUAAUCUAAACCAAGUCCUCCUCGCUCUAAAUCGGCUCAAACUCGGCUCAGUUCAAUAAUCCAUCCAGUAUUUCUUGAACCACGUACACCUCACUCACAAUUUUAUGGCUGUAGAACAUGCACAUUGAACGCCAA
This 291-nucleotide long non-coding RNA is filed under the name Sorghum bicolor (sorghum). RNAcentral's name for it is "long non-coding RNA (SBIC_LNC001893)". Lineage: Eukaryota; Viridiplantae; Streptophyta; Magnoliopsida; Poales; Poaceae. The record is from RNAcentral.